This is a long non-coding RNA of Erinaceus europaeus (western European hedgehog), 774 nucleotides long. RefSeq lists it as uncharacterized. The record is from RefSeq and is a predicted model, not a curated record. The transcript is spliced from 5 exons. NCBI's taxonomy places the organism in Eukaryota, Metazoa, Chordata, Mammalia, Eulipotyphla, Erinaceidae.
AAUGGAAUUCUUUACAACCUUCAGCCUGGACACCAGUGUUGUGAGGAGAAGUAUAUCCCUUCUGUCAUGAAUUCAGCUGGCAUUUGUUGUGGUGGUCAAAUACAAGAGUCCCCAAGUGGAUCAUCAGUGCCAUUACGAGUACUACUCAAUAGUUCUACCAGGUGAAGUCUGCUGUCCAGAUGAGCCUCACCACCAGGGAACCGCCGGCCCGGGUGACACCUGCUGCCGCCGGAUGCCCUGCUCCCGCCUGGGACACUGGCUCUUCUGCAGCAGGAGGCUCCAGGAUGGCCAGGCCUGGCCACACUGCGGUGGGCAGAUGGUGACCCAGGACGUGGAGUGCUGUGGUGGUGCGGAGGAUGGCGUGCUGCACAGGCGUCUGCCAGAUAAGCUUACAAGCGGGAAGCCACAGCUGCAGCGGCAGCGGCGCUAGUGAAGAUUACCUUGCGCAGACACCACAUCACGGUCAUUGGACUUCAUUCCAUCUACAUUGCUGGGCCUCCCCAGGAACCUGUGUCACUGACGUGCCCGUGGAGUAGACUGUCCUGCUGAAGCCUGGCAGUGUGACCCCUCUGUCCUUUCCCGUGGGGGCAUCAGUCCUCCCGUCUGGAAGAUUUGGCUCUGUUCACAGAGGAUGAGAUAAGGAUUCAAGCUUGUAAGGACGUCCUGCUGGCCUGGAGGAGGCCUUCCUGCUGUCGGUCUGGUCAGAAGGAUCCCUGGAGCUCAGGGACAAGUUUCUAUGGCCCUUCUUGCUCGGUGAGUGCCGGCUCAGAGCUC